GCCUCCAUUCUUUCUUUCUUUCUCUCCCUCCCCGCUCAGAUCCUCUCUCCUCUCCCACCAUGCAGAUCCCCCUCGCACCCCUCGUCGCUGCCACCCAACCCUCUGAACCUCGCCGCCGCCCUCACUCUCCCCUCGUCUCCCUCGUCCUCAACCAACCUCACCGCCGUGCAGUGGCUGGGUUGUCGCCGCGCGCUGUUCCUGCGGGCUGUCCCUUUGGGGGCCGGCUCCCAUGAUUCAAUCCAAUCCUCUCCCCCGAUCCCACCUGCCGGCGGUGACCUCCCCACAUCCAUGGCCUCCCCACGCCCUUCCUCGCCGCAUCACCACCCCGACCCCCUCCCUUCCCCACCGCAUCGCCACCCCAAGCCACCUCCCUUCCCUAACCCUACACCCAUACCUCAAACUGCGCCGCAACAUAUCUGAUCCCCCUUCUCCGUGGCGGAGUGCCUCCUUUCCCGAGUUCACCAAGGACAGCGUCUGCUUCAUCAAGCGCUGCUACAAAGCCCGACCGCAAGGAGUUCACCAAGGUUGGCGGCGCAGACGGCGAUUGGGUUCAUCGUCAUGAGAUUCGUCGGCUUCUUCGUCAAGCUCAUCUUCAUCCCCUCGUCAGGCACAACUUCUCUGAUCUUGUCCGCAUCUCUGAUCUCGUCCACGACUACGACCGCAACGGAAGCCUCCUCUGCUCGGAUCUAUGCUAUAAGGACCUAGAGCAUCUAUUCUGAAAUCAUAGCUACAAGUUGUUGCUGUCGAUGGUGCCAUGGUGGUGCACAAUGUUUUUGGACCUCUCUGAGCUGAAGGUUUAUUCAAGAUUAACCAAUGAUUCAUGUGAGCAUCUAUUCUGAAAACCGGCAGCAGUUUUUUAUUUCCUGGAACUGUUUCAAUACUGCUAGAGUCUAAUGCUUACACUAGCUUCCCUAACUUAUCCCUAUGCAAAGACUCAUUAUACAAAUCAGAUACAAAGAUGAUCCCAUGUAUGAGUAAAGCUGGAUGACCAUCCAUUUUGUAAGAUUACAUAAUUGGUAGAACACGUUAUCUAGAGAACUAAAUUGUUUGAGCACUAAAGGUGAAUUUGCAUGCCACUGAAUACUAUGUAAAUUCUACACUACUGAAAGUGUGCAGCUUAUGAUUCCUUUGCUGAAACAUGAAUGUGCAGAUGGGAGUAUCACAACAUGCAUAUAGUGAAGAUGGGAGUAUCACAACCUGAAUGUGCAACUUAUGUAGUUUCUGUAUUUUUGUUAAAGCAUGGAGUAGCUUCUAUAGUUUUGUUAAAAAUUAUCUUGGCCUUGGGCUGAUUUGAGUACUACCAAGGGAAGGAUAUUGAACUUUCCUUGCGGAUGCAUAGCGUGUAGGAGAAUUCUGCUUGACAACAAAUUUACUUGUCUUGAAUUAUUUCUUUUUACUGGAUGUUCAGAAUGUUCAAUUAACUUUGUUUCUUUUGUGACCUUGCUAUGUAAAGGUUCGCAUAUUCAGAGGAGACAUACCGAGGUCAAGCUUGCAUGGUCUCUGUUUGUUGUGGCUACUGACAUGGUCGACGCUGAACUGGAAUUAACCCUGGUUCCAGCUUAUUUGUACUAUUAUUAUUAUAGCAUGUCCUAAUAUCUACCAUUAAACUGGCAACACCAUUGAACUGCUGCUUGCCUACCUAGUGCCAGCGCCAGCGCCAUUUCCAUGUCCACUAUUUAUUAUCUGGUAUAUGACGAUGAGCAGAGUGAAGCCUAGUAUUGCUGCUGCACAAAUAGAUUGCUUGCCACUUUGCUACCUGAAACAGAGUCUCGAUUCCAUUCACACACUUUUCUGACUCUUUAUUUAUUAGCGGCCCAUGUAAGAACAAAAAAAAUAAAGCUCCAACUAAGUACGGUAUUUUGUUUUUGUUUCAUGCUCUUUGUAGCUGACGGGUUGGGCUGUGCUUGGAUGGGCCAUGUUGUAGCUUUUAGACAGUCUGCAUACUAACUUAGCCUCCAUAUUACAAGUUUAAAAGAAUUGCUAUGUAGUUCACAAACCUGGGACUAAACAUUUCAUUAUUUUUUCUCUUGACGACUUUUACUUGGACUUUCAGUUUCAAUAAGCCACAUCCUUGUAUAAAACUUAACACUGUCAUGCACCUGUUUGCGCGUAUGCCUAUGAUAGGGUUAGGACCUGCCGCACCUUUAGAAUAAAUACAUCUGAGAUGAUAAUAUUUCUAUUAAAGUGUUAACACUGAUAUUACUGAGCUAUCUUCAGUAGUGAGGUGGUCCCCUCCUUGCUCGUCGAGAUCGCCCUCAUCCUCCGUGUCGCCAACGAGGCUGAGGCCAGCGACCCAUGAGUCGCCUACCUAUGUCGAUUCUACGCAUCCGAGAAACCUGUAGUACUUGUUUCUCUGCAUGUUUGAGCACUCGAGCAGCACUCAAGCAGUACUUCAAAAUGGAGUAGCUUAAUUCACUGAAUUUGGUUGUAGUACUAGUUGAUUCACUGAGAAGAUUCGGUAAUGAGUUGAAAAUGUGAUGAUUUAGCUCACUUUCUUAAUGUGAUGUUGCUGCUGUACUCCAUAAAUUACUGAACAAUUGUUAAAACUCCAAAAAUACAGUAUUUGCUACUGGCCUAUUAGUGUUAGCAGUAUUUGCAGCUGGAGUAUUUAGAGAUUCAGUUUCCUACUCCAAAUUUUGUACGUUUUUGAUGUGAAACACUUAUGCAUGACUAAGUGUUAAGCUGAUACAAUUUUGAGUCUGCACUUCUGUAUGUUUUUGAUGUGAAACACUUAUGCAUGACUAAGUGUUAAGUUGAUACAAUUUAUUUGGUAGACAAGCAUGGAAAUAUGUAUUAACUUCCUGAAAGUAGACAAGCAUGACAAUUCUGUUCAAUUCUGAUUUCUUUUGUAGUCAAUUAUGUUCAACUAAUUUCUGAAUAUUUCUGAUGUGACCUGUGGCCAGGUACUAGAGGCUGGCCAGAUACUCCAUUGACAUCUCUAGCUCCCACAUGUCGCCCCUGGGCUGGAGCGCCCUCGUGGGCGAUCAGCAUCCUCCUGGUGGCGCUGCUCCUCACAAAGUGUUAAGUUGGAUUACCGCCUCAUGUUGAUGGCAUUGUUUCUUUUUGGUGAUCUAAUGUCGCUUAGGUUGCUGCUGCUGUGAUGGAAGCGCACCACAACUUUAGUUGAUGUUAUCUGUUUUUGCUUAUUAUAGUUGAGGUUGGACGUGCAGACUUGUAUGUGAUGUUGUGUGUAUUUGGAUGAAUGAUUUCGGAAUUUAAUCAUUUAAUUGAGAGAAUUAUUGAGUGUUUGCUGUUCAAA
Molecule: long non-coding RNA, 3259 nt
Organism: Triticum urartu
Lineage: Eukaryota; Viridiplantae; Streptophyta; Magnoliopsida; Poales; Poaceae
Source: RefSeq, a predicted model, not a curated record